This 835-nucleotide long non-coding RNA is filed under the name Jatropha curcas. RNAcentral describes it as "long non-coding RNA (JCUR_LNC000221)". The record is from RNAcentral. Lineage: Eukaryota; Viridiplantae; Streptophyta; Magnoliopsida; Malpighiales; Euphorbiaceae.
UGAUUCAAUGAUACUACUAAUUGCUCUAAAACUAUUCACUUGUCUAAGCCUUAAUUUAUAACUUCUCCUAACAAUAUUUAUCCAAGUUCCUAAAUUAGCUUACAUCAAUAUUAUACCGAUUGCUUCUUAACAAAAUUAUAUUUGUUUGAUUAUUCAUCCAAAUUCAAUUUAAUUAACUAAUAUUUACUAAGUUUAUAAUUUAUACCGAAGAUAAAGAAACUGGUCUUAGAACGUACCAAUUGAGAAUCGGGCGACGAUUCCACGAUCAGCGCAAAGAGAAGAGCAUUCUAUCUCUCGGGGCCUCGCCGGAGUGUCGCCGGCCGGUCACCGGACCGCUGCCACCGGCCGCCGUGCACGGUGGCCGGAAAAUCAUCCUUUCCCAGAAAUUUGCAACGAUCACAUCAUUCAACUCAAAAUUCACCAAGGAGUCCAUUUUUGGCAUUAAUUUAGUGACAUCGGCCCUUGAUUGGCCGGAUCGGCUCGACAGCCGCUACAUCUCCUCCGCGCAAGGGUGCUCUUCAAAACGUCGAUAAGUACACAAAUUGAUAGAGGGAAUUUACUCACAGCGUGGUAGAGAGUCAAUUAACACCCGUUUCCUCCGUUGGGGCCGCCGAAAAUGGUGUGGAUCGCCAAAGAUGGAAGAGGAGACAAUCGCGUGGGAGAAAGCUCCAUCCGCGCCACUGCAGGUCCGUUCAACGUGAAGGGAGGCCGGAAUUGAGACCACUGGCGCUGGACGAACCGAUCGCCACUCCGUUCUGGUCGAGUGGUGGUCGGAGAUCGAAAGGAGAGGGAGGAGGGUGCUGUCGCGCGAGGAAGAAGAAGGAGGGAAAGGAAG